Molecule: ribosomal RNA, 578 nt
Filed under: uncultured bacterium
Lineage: Bacteria
Description: bacterial SSU rRNA
Rfam family: Bacterial small subunit ribosomal RNA
Source: RNAcentral
AAGGGGCAGUAAUGCAUGGAUAACCUACCCUGGGGAUGGGCAUAGCUGUUCUAACGGACAGGUAAUACCCAGCGAUGUGACGUGGUCGCAUGAUCGUGUCACGAAAUGAGUUUCGCCUCGGGAGGGGUCCAUGUGCUAUUAGCUAGUUGGUGAGGUAACGGCUCACCAAGGCAAAGAUGGCUAGCGGGUGUGAGAGCACGACCCGCGCCACUGGCACUGAGACACUGGCCAGACACCUACGGGUGGCUGCAGUCGAGGAUCUUCGGCAAUGAGCGCAAGCUUGACCGAGCGACGCCGCGUGGACGACGAAGGCCUUCGGGUUGUAAAGUCCGAAAGUGGAGAGGAAAGCCGAAAGGUUUGACUGACCCACAGUAAGCACGGGCUAAGUUCGUGCCAGCAGCCGCGGUAAGACGAACCGUGCGAACGUUGUUCGGAAUCACUGGGCUUAAAGGGCGCGUAGGCGGGCCAUCAAGUCAGAGGUGAAAUCCUCCAGCUCAACUGGAGAACUGCCCCUGAUACUGGUGGUCUCGAGGGAGGUAGGGGCGUGCGGAACUAUAGGUGGAGCGGUGAAAUGCGUU